CGGCCCAGACUCCUACGGAGGCAGCAGUGGGAAUAUGGACAAUGGGGGAACCCUGAUCCAGCCAUGCCGCGUGUGGAAGAAGGCCUUUUGGUUGUAAAGCACUUUAAGCGAGGAGGAGGCUACCUAGAUUAAUACUUUAGGAUAGUGGACGUUACUCGCAGAAUAAGCACCGGCUAACUCUGUGCCAGCAGCCGCGGUAAUACAGAGGGUGCGAGCGUUAAUCGGAUUUACUGGGCGUAAAGCGUGCGUAGGCGGCCAAUUAAGUCAAAUGUGAAAUCCCCGAGCUUAACUUGGGAAUUGCAUUCGAUACUGGUUGGCUAGAGUAUGGGAGAGGAUGGUAGAAUUCCAGGUGUAGCGGUGAAAUGCGUAGAGAUCUGGAGGAAUACCGAUGGCGAAGGCAGCCAUCUGGCCUAAUACUGACGCUGAGGUACGAAAGCAUGGGGAGCAAACAGGAUUAGAUACCCUGGUAGUCCAUGCCGUAAACGAUGUCUACUAGCCGUUGGGGCCCUUGAGGCUUUAGUGGCGCAGCUAACGCGAUAAGUAGACCGCCUGGGGAGUACGGUCGCAAGACUAAAACUCAAAUGAAUUGACGGGGGCCCGCACAAGCGGUGGAGCAUGUGGUUUAAUUCGAUGCAACGCGAAGAACCUUACCUGGCCUUGACAUACAGAGAACUUUCCAGAGAUGGAUUGGUGCCUUCGGGAACUCUGAUACAGGUGCUGCAUGGCUGUCGUCAGCUCGUGUCGUGAGAUGUUGGGUUAAGUCCCGCAACGAGCGCAACCCUUUUCCUUAUUUGCCAGCACUUCGGGUGGGAACUUUAAGGAUACUGCCAGUGACAAACUGGAGGAAGGCGGGGACGACGUCAAGUCAUCAUGGCCCUUACGGCCAGGGCUACACACGUGCUACAAUGGUCGGUACAAAGGGUUGCUACACAGCGAUGUGAUGCUAAUCUCAAAAAGCCGAUCGUAGUCCGGAUUGGAGUCUGCAACUCGACUCCAUGAAGUCGGAAUCGCUAGUAAUCGCGGAUCAGAAUGCCGCGGUGAAUACGUUCCCGGGCCUUGUACACACCGCCCGUCACACCAUGGGAGUUUGUUGCACCAGAAGUAGGUAGUCUAACCGCAAGGAGGACGCUUACC
This 1134-nucleotide ribosomal RNA is filed under the name Acinetobacter radioresistens. Its description in RNAcentral is "bacterial SSU rRNA". It matches the Rfam family "Bacterial small subunit ribosomal RNA", at positions 327 to 1458 of the family's 1533-position model. Lineage: Bacteria; Pseudomonadati; Pseudomonadota; Gammaproteobacteria; Moraxellales; Moraxellaceae. The record is from RNAcentral.